RNAcentral lists this microRNA (22 nucleotides) under Blattella germanica (German cockroach). Its description in RNAcentral is "Bge-Novel-21_3p (mature (guide))". Lineage: Eukaryota; Metazoa; Arthropoda; Insecta; Blattodea; Blattellidae. The record is from RNAcentral.
UCACUGGAAAGGCAAUAUCAUU